AACGAACGCUGGCGGCGCGUCUUAAGCAUGCAAGUCGAACGGCAAGAGAAGAGCUGCUCUUCUCCUAGAGUGGCGGACUGGUGAGUAACACGUGGGUGAUCUACCCUUGAGAUGGGGAUAGCCGUUAGAAAUAGCGGGUAAUACCGAAUACCCUCACGUUCAUAAAGGGAUGUGAGGAAAGGAAGCUACGGCUUCGCUCGAGGAUGAGCCUGCGUCCCAUUAGCUAGUUGGUGAGGUAAAGGCCCACCAAGGCGACGAUGUGUAUCCGGCCUGAGAGGGUGAUCGGACACAUUGGGACUGAGAUACGGCCCAAACUCCUACGGGAGGCAGCAGCUAAGAAUAUUCCGCAAUGGACGGAAGUCUGACGGAGCGACGCCGCGUGGAUGAAGAAGGCUGAAAAGUUGUAAAAUCCUUUUGCUGAUGAAGAAUAAGGGUAGGAGGGAAUGCCUAUCUGAUGACAGUAAUCGGCGAAUAAGCCCCG
RNAcentral lists this ribosomal RNA (481 nucleotides) under Treponema sp. oral taxon A31. RNAcentral describes it as "bacterial SSU rRNA". It matches the Rfam family "Bacterial small subunit ribosomal RNA", at positions 29 to 495 of the family's 1533-position model. Lineage: Bacteria; Pseudomonadati; Spirochaetota; Spirochaetia; Treponematales; Treponemataceae. The record is from RNAcentral.